CCGUUCAAUACUGCGGAGCUCGAGGGCAGAAGAGGGGGGUGGAAUUGCUGGUGUAGUGGUGAAAUGCGUAGAUAUCAGCAGGAACACCUGUGGCGAAAGCGGCCCCCUGGUCUGCUCCUGACACUCGGACGCGAAAGCUAGGGGAGUGAACGGGAUUAGAAACCCCGGUAAUCCUAGCCGUAAACGAUGGAUGCUAGGUGUGGGUGGUAUUGACCCCAUCCGUGCCGAAGCCAACGCGUUAAGCAUCCCGCCUGGGGACUACGGCCGCAAGGUUAAAACUCAAAGGAAUUGACGGGGACCCGCACAAGCAGCGGAGCGUGUGGUUUAAUUCGAUGCUACACGAAGAACCUUACCCAGGUUUGACAUGCAGGUAGUAGUGAAGCGAAAGCGGAACGAUCCUUCGGGAAGCCUGCACAGGUGCUGCAUGGCUGUCGUCAGCUCGUGCCGUGAGGUGUUUGGUUAAGUCCACUAACGAGCGCAACCCCUGUCGUCAGUUACAUGUGUCUGGCGAGACUGCCGGUCUUAAACCGGAGGAAGGUGGGGAUGACGUCAAGUCAGCAUGGCCUUUAUAUCUGGG
This 577-nucleotide ribosomal RNA is filed under the name uncultured bacterium. RNAcentral's name for it is "bacterial SSU rRNA". It matches the Rfam family "Bacterial small subunit ribosomal RNA", at positions 623 to 1212 of the family's 1533-position model. The record is from RNAcentral.